This is a long non-coding RNA of Sinocyclocheilus rhinocerous, 405 nucleotides long. RefSeq lists it as uncharacterized. The record is from RefSeq and is a predicted model, not a curated record. The transcript has 4 exons. Lineage: Eukaryota; Metazoa; Chordata; Actinopteri; Cypriniformes; Cyprinidae.
GCAACAUUUCUUAAAUUCACCCCAGAGUGUCAUAAUCCAUGCAAAGAGUUGUUCUUUGGGAGAAUCGUUCUGAUUGACUGUGUCAAUAUCACCCUGGCUGUAAUAUGCACAAGAGAUUAUUUGACUGAAUACCGUGUACAUUUUUAUGGCGAAAGAGUCCCUCAAUCUCUGAUCAACCCUGUGAACAGAGGUCACAUUGGUUUUUUCCUGUCUGUUACCUUGGUGCUCAUAGCCAUUGCGGUGUGUCUGCUGUGUGUUAGAUAUACAUACAAAAACAACAGAAGCAAUAGCCACUCAGUGUGAUAUGGGAUAAAGAAGAGAGUGUUCAGCAGAGUCUAUUUAAAGGGCACAUAUUAAGCCCCUUUUUACAAGAUGUAAUAUAAGUCUCAGGUGUCCCCAGAAUGU